This 470-nucleotide long non-coding RNA is filed under the name Nicotiana benthamiana. RNAcentral describes it as "long non-coding RNA (NBEN_LNC027296)". Lineage: Eukaryota; Viridiplantae; Streptophyta; Magnoliopsida; Solanales; Solanaceae. The record is from RNAcentral.
ACACCUCAACAAUAUUUUCUUGGUCAUUGGUGCACAAAGUAUUAAAUUCAGCUUCCUCUUGCUGAUAAACUUCUUCAUUCAGUAAUUCUUCAUCUUCAAUAUCUACACAAUUAUCAUCAUUAUCAGGCAUUUUGAAAAGGUCACGAGGAUUUGUCUUCACAACAACAAGCGAAUCAUUAUCGACCAUGUCGUCCAAGUAAUAGACUUGUUCCAACUGAGAUGCCAAAACAAAUUGCUCAUUUGCUUCAUCUUCAAUAUCUACAAAAUUAUCAUCAUUAUCAGGCAUUUUGAAAAGGUCACAAGGAUUUGUCUUCACAACAACAAGCCAAUCAUUAUCGACCAUGUCGUCCAAGUAAAAGACUUGUUCUGUCAAAGAUGCCAACACAAAUGGCUCAUUUGUAUUCAAGGCACACCGAGUAUUCACACUUGUGAAGCCAUAUUUGUCAAUCUUAUAUCCUCUUCCUAAGCGA